CAAGGAAGGAGAAUGAGUAUACAGUAUACGAAGAAGGAAGAAGGACCUUUCAUUAGAAUUACCAAAAUAUUUUAAACCUAUUUGUAAUUGUAUCAAUCAAUGGAUAAUAAACUAUUUCGUGGCUCCUAUAUAAUCUUUAAUCUUUCUUAUCUAGGGCAGGCCUUACUUACGGAUACAAAGAGAGGUGGACGUGAAAAUAGAGGACUCGUCACUAAAUGUACGAUGAAGAUACAAAAUGGAAUCUAAGUUUCCUUCCUAUUGGCGAUUGUGCGUUUUUCGUCAAAUCAUAGACUUAGAAUAGAACAAGAGCCAAGCAACGAAGCAACUGGGGUAUUUUCUGGAUAUAACAUGCACAAGGGCCACAAUGCUAUUGAAUUCAAUUUCCGUACAAACCGCUGAUAAUGAAGAACAUGCAGCUGAAUUGCAGGUCUAGGUUUAAUUAGCAUAAACUACUUAUUACUUAACCAAAAAUGAGUCAAGAAGAAGAUAAAUCUGAGAAUAGUGAAUUUAAAACAUUGAAACCCUACUGGAAUUGUCCCCUUUGUACAUUUGAAAACAAAGCAGAAUCCUUCAAAUGUAAGAUGUGUCAUGUAAGACGUGGAAGUUCCAGUAGACAAUCCAGCAUCAACCCAGUACUGGCUACUCAGCAAUAUAGACCUACGAGUCAUCAGAAUCAUAAGAAACACCAUCUAAGCAAACAAAAGGAUCCAUCAAAUAAAAAUAAAAACAAACAAAAUGUCAAGGUGGGUCGGUUAGGAAAACGAAGCAAACAAGCACAUACAGCUAAAAUUAGCAAUAUAGACCGUAAAUCUGGACGUUCCUUAGCUAUUACGGUCAAUAAUGUUACUGUCACUUUUACUGAAUAUAAACUCAAACCAAAAAAGACAAAUAAUGUAAAUAAGAAAAGUAAGAGUUCUGUGUUUUUACCUCAGUGUUUGGUUCCUAGUGAAAUAGACUCGAGUUCUAAAAGCUCUUUUACUUCACAGUCAGAAUCCUUGCAAAGUUAUACUGAUGUGGUAUCAAAUGACAAAACUGAGUCAAAUGGUAUUGAUCAGUAACAACUGAUUCAGUGCGUUGCUCAGGUAAUAUGUUUGAUCUCAGGAAAUAAACUCGUUUCAAUAUUAGGGAUCUGGAGAACAAACCGUAUACUGUAAUGUAUUGAUCCAAGUUUUCUUUGUAUACCUUAUUUGUUUCGUUAAUGUUUGUUUACUAAUUGGUAAAUUAAUUUUAAAGAGGAAAUGGAGAUUUUUGUCUGAAGAAACCAGCAGCUGUUAACGGUCUACAAACGUAUUGAGUUAUUGAAUAUUAAAUGAUUUUAUAAUAAUUAGACCUCUGAAAAAUGCAUAUUCUUAAUUAUUUAGCAUCAAAUAAAUGUUUUACAUAUAGAUAGUUCACAAUAUACAUAUUUAUUAUCUAGUAAAAGUUUCACUGAAUAGUUUAAGUAACUCACAAGGUUUAUUAAAUUUCUACAUUAGCACUACUACAUACAGUGUUAAUCAGGAAGUUAUUUGAUAACUAAUUGUUUCAGGAAUUUUUGCCAUUAGAAGUUCAAAAAAUACAAAAGUUACAAUAUCCUCUAACCGCUUGAUAAAAAAUUGGAAAAAUUCAAAUUUUGAAAAAUAUGGUAAUAAACUAAAAAUAAGUAAGUAAAUUUUUAAUACCUAACAAAAUAAUUGUGUUUUCGGAUUUUUUGGAUCACAUAAUGCUGAAUUAGGUAAAUUAAGGAUUGUGUAAAUCAAGGACUACCUGUAUUUGAACUUAAUUUAGAAUUAAAGUUACACUGAAAAUGGUUAUUUUGAGCUUUUUAUACCUGCAAAUAAACAACUCAGGAUUUUAUGGUUUAGAAAGUAUAACUGAGUAUCCGUUUGUAUUCAUAAGACUAUAAAACCAUAAAAAUAUAUUUUUUUUAUCUGUUGGUUUGGAACAUAAUUAUUUUUUAUUAUUAUUAUAAGGUCACAUUUGAAGUAGAUUACAAAUUUAGGGGACAUUCCGUGUGCACCAUGUAGCACAGGUGUUGUGAGAUAAUCCUGAUAUUGAUAUUACAUAAUGCAGGCUAAGUCAACUGUCCACGUGACUCUCUUGUGAAGGCACUAAGUACAUUUGACUAGAUUUGUACAAACUUAUUUGGGGAUUAGUUUAAAUGGGUAGGCCUACAGUAGCAAAGACAGCCACAUUGCCAUUUGAAGUACAUGACUUGUGGGCCAUGAACCGGCUUAUGGCUACUGUAUGUGUAAUGUGGAAUCAGUUUUGUUUAAGAAUCAUGAUUGAGUGAUGCAAGUAUGAUUAAUUAUUGUUUUCUCCAAAAAGUUAGGUCAAGUGUUAUGCUGAUUUUCUGUUAGCUACCCUUAUUAUGCCAAAACUAGUUACUGAAGGUUAAUAUUUUGAAAAAUAUUAAGUGAGUAAAUUUGUAUAAAUUAUACAUUACAUUUGUUGGAUACAUUUCAAAUAAACAGGUAAAUUUUAAAAUGUCUGAACACUUUUUAGCAAACAUUUCCUCACUUCUGUCAUACUGAACAGGUGCUAGGGUUCUAGAUGUUGCUAUACAUUUUAGUUUAGAAGUAUUGUAUGCUGGUGUAAGUAACUUACUUUAUGUACUGUUUUCUUGCAAAAGCAUUUAAAUAAUGUUUGUUGUAAAUAUUUUAAAAGGGUAUAUAUGUGCAAUCCAGUUAUAUUCCUAAAUCUGUAAUACAAAUUUGCAUAGAGAGAUAAUGUUUCAUGUACCUGUUUUCUGUGUAACAUAAUAUAAUGCUAUACGUGGUAAUUAUUGUGUUAAAUAUACAUAGAAGUGAU
Macrosteles quadrilineatus (aster leafhopper) is the source of this 2790-nucleotide long non-coding RNA. RefSeq lists it as uncharacterized. NCBI's taxonomy places the organism in Eukaryota, Metazoa, Arthropoda, Insecta, Hemiptera, Cicadellidae. The record is from RefSeq and is a predicted model, not a curated record. The transcript is spliced from 2 exons.